RNAcentral lists this transfer RNA (62 nucleotides) under Achromobacter animicus. Its description in RNAcentral is "tRNA-Ala". Lineage: Bacteria; Pseudomonadati; Pseudomonadota; Betaproteobacteria; Burkholderiales; Alcaligenaceae. The record is from RNAcentral.
GGCCGUCUGGAGCGGCGCUCGGGUUUUUGCGCAACCCCCGGGCGUUCAGCCGCGGCCGGCUC